RNAcentral lists this unclassified non-coding RNA (333 nucleotides) under soil metagenome. RNAcentral's name for it is "partial contains 5.8S ribosomal RNA, internal transcribed spacer 2, and large subunit ribosomal RNA". The stretch from base 1 to 120 matches the Rfam family "5.8S ribosomal RNA", at positions 35 to 154 of the family's 154-position model. The record is from RNAcentral.
GAUGAAGAACGUAGCGAAAUGCGAUACGUAAUGUGAAUUGCAGAAUUCAGUGAAUCAUCGAAUCUUUGAACGCACAUUGCGCCCGCCAGUAUUCUGGCGGACAUGCCUGUUCGAGCGUCAUUUCAACCCUCAAGCUCAGCUUGGUGUUGGGACUCGCGGUAACCCGCGUUCCCCAAAUCGAUUGGCGGUCACGUCGAGCUUCCAUAGCGUAGUAAUCAUACACCUCGUUACUGGUAAUCGUCGCGGCCACGCCGUAAAACCCCAACUUCUGAAUGUUGACCUCGGAUCAGGUAGGAAUACCCGCUGAACUUAAGCAUAUCAAUAAGCGGAGGA